This 727-nucleotide ribosomal RNA is filed under the name uncultured organism. RNAcentral's name for it is "bacterial SSU rRNA". It matches the Rfam family "Bacterial small subunit ribosomal RNA", at positions 52 to 771 of the family's 1533-position model. The record is from RNAcentral.
CACAUGCAAGUCGAGGGGUAACAGUCCCGCUUCGGCGGGAGCUGACGACCGGCGCACGGGUGAGUAACGCGUAUGCAACUUUCCUGUAACUGGAGGAGAGCCCCUGGAAACGGGGAUUAAUACUGCGUAAUACCUAAAUACCGCAUGGUAUUAAGGUCAAAUCUACGGAGGUUACAGAUGGGCAUGCGUGCCAUUAGCUAGAUGGUAAGGUAACGGCUUACCAUGGCAAUGAUGGCUAGGGGUUCUGCAAGGAAGGCCCCCCACACUGGUACUGAGACACGGACCAGACUCCUACGGGAGGCAGCAGUGAGGAAUAUUGGUCAAUGGAGGCAACUCUGAACCAGCCAAGCCGCGUGAAGGAAGACUGUCCUAUGGAUUGUAAACUUCUUUUGUGGCAGAAUAAACUACCGUACUUGUACGGUAUUGCAUGUAUGCCAUGAAUAAGCAUCGGCUAACUCCGUGCCAGCAGCCGCGGUAAUACGGAGGAUGCAGGCGUUAUCCGGAUUUAUUAGGUUUAAAGGGUGUUCAGGCUGCCUGGUAAGUCAGGGGUGAAAGUCGGUUGCUCAACGAUCGAGUUGCCUUUGACACUGUCAGGCUCGAGUAUGGAUGCGGUAGGCGGAAUGUGUAGUGUAGCGGUGAAAUGCCUCGAUGUUGCGCGGAACGCCGAUUGCGAAGGCAGCUUACCGAGGCCAGCGCUGACGCUGAGGCGCGAGCGCGUGGGGAGCGA